Aphis gossypii (cotton aphid) is the source of this 1558-nucleotide long non-coding RNA. RefSeq lists it as uncharacterized. NCBI's taxonomy places the organism in Eukaryota, Metazoa, Arthropoda, Insecta, Hemiptera, Aphididae. The record is from RefSeq and is a predicted model, not a curated record. The transcript has 3 exons.
AUCAAAAUAGGUACUAACCAUAUUAUAUUUUUUUUACUUUAGAGAUUAGCAGUAACAAAAUUUUUUAAGUAUCGAGUUACGUCAUAAUGUUUGUAAGUUAUUCGCUUUCGUGAAUUAUAGAAAAAUUACUCGUAUUAUGAUCUCCCCACAAACGUAUACCAGUAUAAUAAUCUGAAAACUAUUGAUAUCAAUGCUCGGUUAACAACGAGCUUAGUUUGAAGCGAAAAGCACUGAGCUGUAUUUUUUUUUAUAAUUAUCAUUAUUUAAUGAGUUAUUUAGUAAGCCGUAUUAGUAUAUUUAUUGAUUUACUCCGAUUAUACAAAUUUUAGCAUUUCCGUUGAACUUGGUAUUUUUGGAUUUAUUAAUUAAAAUAUUGGAUCUAUUCAAUUAUAUAGAACUCAGCAGUUAAUUGUAGUACUUGUUUUUCUUUUUGUACUUUCUGAACCGGUUAAUGAAGUUGUUUUUGCAAAUUUCAUAUUUUUUUUUUUUUUAACAACUAAAUUAACUCUCCUUCUCCUUUACCCACAAUCUUAAUUAUUAAACCAAUUCCUUGAGUUCUUUGAGACCAUGCCACGGGUAAUUAUGGGUAUAAAUACGAGAUCUAGUUUGUACUUAAUUUAGAAUUACAUUACUUUAGCUUAGCUGCACAUAGUUCUUAGGCAUGAGCGUAACCUCUGCCUUCAAACUUCUCUAGUAUUAAAAUUAACAAGUGUUUUUUUCUUCAACUCGGACUGAAGCUCACUGACAAACUACGACGACACGUUUUUGGGACACUACGAAAAUACUUAACGUCAGGCGACAGACCGAACGGAACAGUUUUGGGUUGUAGAGUUUCCAGAUGCACGCAUUUAAAAGGACCAGAUCAGUACUACGUUUUCGUAAUGAACAUACUGUUGAAAAAUCUAAUGGUACGAAAAGAACAAAUAAUGAGUAACUGUGCUAAAUCAUAUUGUCAUAGUCAACUUCAGUUUUGAUUUUAUAUGUCACAUCCAUCUUUAAGUUGUUGAUGUUUAAAUAGUUCAACAAUUGAUUGAUAAAGCGAAAAUGCGAGAAAUUAAGAAGAAACUGAGUUAAUACAGUGGAAAUUUGAUCGAUAACGAUUAGCCAAUUUGGUACAUCAGUACUCAUUUUUAUUAACAAACAAACUGAUUAUAAAAGAAUAUGUCAUAAAAAUAAGUUAAAAUUUUAAACCAAUAAAGGUACCUAUAAUAUUCAUAUUUAAAUUAUUACAUUUUUACUACUAUAUUACUUUAUUACUAUAAAUUAUUAUUAAUUUAUCACAUUGAUGAUAUUUUAAAUUAUGUUGAUGUAAUACACACAUUUUUAAUUUGGAUUGUUUAUUUUGAUUUUAUGGAAUUUGAAUUUAAUUCUAUGUAAUAUUUUUUAUAUUUUAAUUUAUAUUGGUUUUAAUAAAUUUGUGCGGUAUCAUACCAUUUCUGUGCGGGGAAUUAAACUACGUAUAUUUUUAUAAAUCUGUGUGGUAUGUGCGGUAUUGGAUCAUGUUUGUGUGGUAAGGGAAAUCGCUGUUAAAUAAAUAUUAAAUAUGUAUUUAUAUGUA